RNAcentral lists this long non-coding RNA (377 nucleotides) under Salvia miltiorrhiza (redroot sage). Its description in RNAcentral is "long non-coding RNA (SMIL_LNC009008)". Lineage: Eukaryota; Viridiplantae; Streptophyta; Magnoliopsida; Lamiales; Lamiaceae. The record is from RNAcentral.
CUCAAUAUGCACUUCACCUCCUCCACUUGGGAGACGGGGCAGAGGCGCCACGGGUUGUAGUACUCGUUCUGCUUCAACUCGUCCAGAUCUUGCGGUGUCACGAAUGCUGCUCUGUCCAAGAAUCUGCAAUACAAAUAGAAUAGAGAGUUAGUUUGCAAUAUAUUUCAGUGGAGUUGAGUUAAGGUCAAGGUGUAAUGUAUGACACUCACUUGAUCCCCUGCGUGUGCAGCAUCUUCCUGGCAGCGUUCUUGGAGUCCUCGGCCUCGUAAAGGUUGGCCUCGUCACCCGGUGGGAUCCUGACGCUGCACUUCUUGGAGGCAGCGACCAAGACUUGGGAAAUGCGGGAGAGGGGAUUGCCGCUGGGCUUGAAAUGGCGG